This 253-nucleotide ribosomal RNA is filed under the name uncultured bacterium. RNAcentral's name for it is "partial 16S ribosomal RNA". It matches the Rfam family "Bacterial small subunit ribosomal RNA", at positions 524 to 776 of the family's 1533-position model. The record is from RNAcentral.
AACGUAGGACACGAGCGUUAUCCGGAGUUACUGGGCGUAAAGGGCGAGUAGGUGGUGCGAUAAGACUGGUGUGAAAGCCUUCGGCUUAACCGAGGGAGGACACUGGUGACUGUCGGACUUGAGGCAGAUAGAGGGGUGUAGAAUUCCGGGUGUAGUGGUGAAAUGCGUAGAUAUCGGGAGGAACACCAGUGGCGAAGGCGGCUACCUGGCCCACUCUUGACGCUGAGGCGCGAAAGCUAGGGGAGCAAACGGG